This is a long non-coding RNA of Mastomys coucha (southern multimammate mouse), 3334 nucleotides long. RefSeq lists it as uncharacterized. NCBI's taxonomy places the organism in Eukaryota, Metazoa, Chordata, Mammalia, Rodentia, Muridae. The transcript is spliced from 2 exons. The record is from RefSeq and is a predicted model, not a curated record.
CGCCCGGGAGCAGGGGCGGGGCUGGGAGGAGGCCGGGGCUCUAAGGAGCCAGGCUCUGGCAGGGGCGCCAGGUAAAGUUCAAGAAUCACUGAAUAUAGAUUUUGGUGACAUUCAAGAACAUAAUUCUUUGCCUUCAAAUGAGGUAAAAGAAAUAAUCUUUGGAGAGCAUGCUCCUGAAAGGGGACAUUAUGUUAUCGCUUCCAUCAGGAGGUGCUGGAAUACGAACAAGGCAAAGCUAGUCUGUAAGAACCUCUCUCAGAUGCGUCUCUUUUGGCUUGUCUGAUGCAUUUCAGGUGCUUAACUGCAGGUCAGUACAAUCGUGGACUCUAGAAGAAGAAAUGUUUGUUUCAUUGUCUGACUUGGCUAAUGAGAAGACUGUGUUAUGUUUCAAGUAGUGAUCUCUUUCUCAUUACUAAGUUACUUGCCUGCACUGUUUCCCAGGCCAGUCUGGAUUUAGAUUGUCUCUUUUCCAAGUGCAGCAGCAUUGCCAGAGCCAGAGUAUUAUUCCACCGUGAUACCACCAUUUGUUAUAGCCUAUUAAGUUCCAAGGAUGCUGAAGCCUGGGUUCUCAGGGACGCAUUUAUAUUUUCUCACCAUGUCUCCUAUAAGUGGGAACAUUGCUGGGAAAUUGUUGAGAAGUUGGUUUCAUUAUAUGUCAAUUAGAAUUGGCUUUCAAGAAUAUACUAAAAGGUGGCCAGCAAGAUGGUGCAGUAAUUUAAGGCACUUACUACCAAGCCUCGCCUUCUGAGCUUGGUUCCCCAGGAGCCCCACAGAGGAAGGAAAUAACUGAGCAUCACAAGUUGUCCUCUAACUCUACCUGUCUGUGCAUGUACACACAUACACAUGUACACACGAUAAAUGAAGGAACUCUGAAGUUUUUUCAGAAGUGGGUGGGGCUGGGGCCUGGACAGAUGGCUUAGUGGUUAAGCUCGCUGGCUGCUUUGCUAGAGGGCCUAGGUUCAAUUCACAGCUCCCACACAUGGCCUUACAGCUGUCUGUACCUCCAGUUCCAGGUCAUCUGACCCCUUUUCUGUCUUCAGGCACUAUACCAGGAGUGUACACAGUACACAGACAUGCAUGGAAUCAAAAUACCAAUACACAUAGAAUAACAAUUUAAAAAAAGAAAAUAAAUCUGAAAAGAAUGCACUAAAGGAUCUGUCCUAUGUAGCAAACCUAGAGCAGAAGCAGCAUGAGGUACUGGCAGAGUCAGUAUAUAAGCAAAGAGGCUCAGGUAGAGAAGAGAACAUCAUAACCAGAAAGUGGAAGUGCAGAGCAAAGGACAGCGUCGGUGUAAUGAAAACGCUCAGGAUGCCACCAAAUAGAAACCUCCUUUGUUCGCUGCCAGGCAUUGUAGCUGCUUCCACCCCAAAGGAAUGAGCAGAAUGAUCUUCUUUAUGCCAGUGACCUUGGUAUGGAAGCUUUGCCUCAUACUGCUUUGGUCUGCAAUGGUAGACAUUAGCAUAUGUCAUUAUAUGCUUAGUCAGCCAUUGUGCCUAGAAAAAAAAAAAAACUACUUACCUUGAAAUUACUCAGAGCCACAUGCCCAUAUAUAAUUUACAAGUACUCUGCCAAGUCAUGAAUUCAGGCCUAAUGCAGAAAAGGCUUUUACGUUCUGACGUGUGUUACCUACAAUUCAGCUGACUGGGUUAGCUGUUCUCCUAGAGACAGUGGUGGUCAAAGGCUUUUGGGUUUCUUUUUAGAUUUUUUAAAUUGGUGUGUGUGUGGGUGUGGGUGUGUGUGUGGGUGUGGGUGUGUGUGUAUGCGCGCGCACGCACGCGCGCACGCACGCACAUGAGUAAAGGCACUCAAAAGGCUAUAUGCUCCUUGGAGUUAGAUUUAUAGGCAAUUGUGGAUCUGAUGUUUGUGCUGGGAAUUGAACUUUGGGUCUCUGCAAAGCAGUAUUCACUCGUAACUGCGAAGCCAUCUCCCUCACCCUCCUUGGUUGGUUAUUUUGCACAGCACCAGUCUGAGUUUCCCCUUGUACAACUCGCUAAUCCCCAAGUGAGCAGCUACCGGGUCUGGUCUGCUGCUUAGACACUCUUGAAUAACCCUGCUUUCUGGUUGUUAACCUGAAGGAGAGUUCCCAUCAACCUCUGACUUGCUCUGCGAUGUUCACUUGUGCUUCAGCACAUAUUUGAGUCUCUUGUGCUGACUGCUGAGAUGAUCAAUAAACCUGCGUGGAAUUCGAUUUACAAACUCAAAUGUGCACAGCACACUGUGUAUACACGUUCUACGGUGCAGGGUCAGUGGGGCACUGGACCAGAGAGCCCUCUGGAGAAUGGAGUGUACGGCUGAGCCCUAGCCCAGCAGCUUUCUCCAGUAAGCCUUCACUUUUUACCCUGAUUUUUCAAGCCCUGAUUUUAAAGCAGCUUGCUAACCUGCUAACCUGUUGCCUGUGAUUUUCUGUUCCCUGCCAAACUGUCAUCUUUUUUACUGGCAAUGCUUCCUAUCGUAUUGUCUCUUCUGUUGUCCUUUUAACUAGUUAUUUGUUUUUUUAAAAAAAAAAAAUUCUGGCAUGGUGGCACAUGCCUUUAAUUCUAGCACUUGGGAAGCAGAGAUAGACAAUUUCUAUGAGGUUGAAUACAGCCUGGUCUACAUGGUAAGUUCCAGGACAGCCAGGACUAUAUAGAGAAACUUGUCUCAAAAAUAGAAAAUUCUCUCUUAGGGCUAGCCUGAUGGGUUAGCAGGCAGAGGUAUCUGCUGGCAAGUCUGACAGCCUGGGUUCAAUCCCUGGGGCCUGCAUGGGAAUGGAGAGAACUGACUUUUGUAGAUUGGCCUCCAACUUCCCCACAUAUGUGCACGCAUGCACACACACACUAAAUAUUCUUAAUUAAUAUGCACUCAACCUACUUACAAAACCUGAACUAUAUGUGUUCCUUAGAUAUGAGAUAGAGCUUGUCAUGAGCAGAAAAGUUACCCCCCCCCCCGCCCCCAUGGCCUAGAACACUGAUGCUUUAAGCUAGAGAAGAAUAUGAUUUCUGUUAGCUUCUUCUCCUUCACCACAAGAAUGGCUACAGUAGGUGGCCAGUUAGGACAGAUUUGCAUACAUACAGUGCAUACAUACAGUAGGUGGCCAGUUAGGACAGAAGUGCGUACAUACAGUAGGUGGCCAGUUAGGACAGAGUGCUUACAUAGGAAUGCCUGAGGGUGAAGACUACAGAGCUGUCUACAGGAGCCUCCUCGCUUCUACCAUCCCUUUGACUCUCUUUGCAAAGCAGAUACAGUCAGUCUAUCCCUGUAUAUAUUCCUAAGAAACAAUUUUGGUCUUUAGUACUUUUAGUGCAAAAAAAAAAGGAGCCCACUUGCUUAUCUGAACUAGCUCUCUAGAGCAGAC